This 460-nucleotide ribosomal RNA is filed under the name uncultured bacterium. Its description in RNAcentral is "partial 16S ribosomal RNA". It matches the Rfam family "Bacterial small subunit ribosomal RNA", at positions 338 to 795 of the family's 1533-position model. The record is from RNAcentral.
CCUACGGGCGGCAGCAGUGAGGAAUAUUGGUCAAUGGACGAGAGUCUGAACCAGCCAAGUAGCGUGAAGGAUGACUGCCCUCUGGGUUGUAAACUUCUUUUAUAUGGGAAUAAAAUGUUCCACGUGUGGGAUUUUGUAUGUACCAUAUGAAUAAGGAUCGGCUAACUCCGUGCCAGCAGCCGCGGUAAUACGGAGGAUCCGAGCGUUAUCCGGAUUUAUUGGGUUUAAAGGGAGCGUAGGUGGAUUGUUAAGUCAGUUGUGAAAGUUUGCGGCUCAACCGUAAAAUUGCAGUUGAAACUGGCAGUCUUGAGUACAGUAGAGGUGGGCGGAAUUCGUGGUGUAGCGGUGAAAUGCUUAGAUAUCACGAAGAACUCCGAUUGCGAAGGCAGUUCACUGGACUGCAACUGACACUGAGGCUCGAAAGUGUGGGUAUCAAACAGGAUUAGAUACCCGUGUAGUC